AACGCGAAGAACCUUACCUGGGCUCGAAAUGUAGUGGAAUGAGGUAGAAAUAUCUCCGCCCCGCAAGGGGCCGCUAUAUAGGUGCUGCAUGGCUGUCGUCAGCUCGUGUCGUGAGAUGUUGGGUUAAGUCCCGCAACGAGCGCAACCCUUAUCUUUAGUUGCCAUCAGGUCAAGCUGGGCACUCUAACGAAACCGCCUCGGAUAACGGGGAGGAAGGUGGGGAUGACGUCAAGUCCUCAUGGCCUUUAUGUCCAGGGCUACACACGUGCUACAAUGGCCGGUACAAACCGUCGCAAACUCGCGAGAGGGAGCUAAUCGGAAAAAGCCGGCCUCAGUUCGGAUUGGAGUCUGCAACUCGACUCCAUGAAGCUGGAAUCGCUAGUAAUCGCGGAUCAGAACGCCGCGGUGAAUACGUUCCCGGGCCUUGUACACACCGACGCGUA
Molecule: ribosomal RNA, 443 nt
Filed under: uncultured bacterium
Lineage: Bacteria
Description: bacterial SSU rRNA
Rfam family: Bacterial small subunit ribosomal RNA
Source: RNAcentral